RNAcentral lists this ribosomal RNA (460 nucleotides) under uncultured bacterium. RNAcentral describes it as "partial 16S ribosomal RNA". It matches the Rfam family "Bacterial small subunit ribosomal RNA", at positions 338 to 795 of the family's 1533-position model. The record is from RNAcentral.
CCUACGGGUGGCAGCAGUGAGGAAUAUUGGUCAAUGGACGAGAGUCUGAACCAGCCAAGUAGCGUGAAGGAUGACUGCACUAUGGGUUGUAAACUUCUUUUAUAUGGGAAUAAAACAGGGUAUGCAUACCCUCUUGUAUGUACCCUAUGAAUAAGGAUCGGCUAACUCCGUGCCAGCAGCCGCGGUAAUACGGAGGAUCCGAGCGUUAUCCGGAUUUAUUGGGUUUAAAGGGUGCGUAGGUGGUUUGUUAAGUCAGUUGUGAAAGUUUGCGGCUCAACCGUAAAAUUGCAGUUGAAACUGGCAGUCUUGAGUACAGUAGAGGUGGGCGGAAUUCGUGGUGGAGCGGUGAAAUGCUUAGAUAUCACGAAGAACUCCGAUUGCGAAGGCAGCAUACCGGCGCUCAACUGACGCUCAUGCACGAAAGUGUGGGUAUCGAACAGGAUUAGAUACCCGAGUAGUC